RNAcentral lists this ribosomal RNA (253 nucleotides) under uncultured bacterium. Its description in RNAcentral is "partial 16S ribosomal RNA". It matches the Rfam family "Bacterial small subunit ribosomal RNA", at positions 524 to 776 of the family's 1533-position model. The record is from RNAcentral.
UACAGAGACUGCAAGCGUUGUCCGGAUUUAUUGGGCGUAAAGAGCGUGUAGGCGGCCGUGUAGGUCCGUUGUGAAAACUCGAGGCUCAACCUCGAGACGUCGAUGGAAACCACACGGCUAGAGUCCGGAAGAGGAGAGUGGAAUUCCUGGUGUAGCGGUGAAAUGCGCAGAUAUCAGGAAGAACACCUAUGGCGAAGGCAGCUCUCUGGGACGGUACUGACGCUGAGACGCGAAAGCGUGGGGAGCGAACAGG